UGGGGAAUUUUGCGCAAUGGGCGAAAGCCUGACGCAGCAACGCCGCGUGCGGGAUGACGGCCUUCGGGUUGUAAACCGCUUUCAGCAGGGACGAAAAUGACGGUACCUGCAGAAGAAGCCCCGGCUAACUACGUGCCAGCAGCCGCGGUAAUACGUAGGGGGCAAGCGUUAUCCGGAUUCAUUGGGCGUAAAGAGCGCGUAGGCGGUUUGUUAAGCGAGAUGUGAAAACCGGGGGCUCAACCCGCGGCCUGCAUCUCGAACUGGCAGACUUGAGUCUGGUAGAGGAAAGUGGAAUUCCAAGUGUAGCGGUGAAAUGCGCAGAUAUUUGGAGGAACACCAGUGGCGAAGGCGGCUUUCUGGGCCACGACUGACGCUGAGGCGCGAAAGCUAGGGGAGCAAACA
This 402-nucleotide ribosomal RNA is filed under the name uncultured Coriobacteriaceae bacterium. Its description in RNAcentral is "partial 16S ribosomal RNA". It matches the Rfam family "Bacterial small subunit ribosomal RNA", at positions 355 to 774 of the family's 1533-position model. Lineage: Bacteria; Bacillati; Actinomycetota; Coriobacteriia; Coriobacteriales; Coriobacteriaceae. The record is from RNAcentral.